Molecule: ribosomal RNA, 253 nt
Filed under: uncultured bacterium
Lineage: Bacteria
Description: partial 16S ribosomal RNA
Rfam family: Bacterial small subunit ribosomal RNA
Source: RNAcentral
UACGUAGGGGGCAAGCGUUGUCCGGAAUCAUUGGGCGUAAAGCGCGCGUAGGCGGCCCGAUAAGUCUGCUGUAAAAGUCAACGGCUCAACCGUUGAAAGCCGGUGGAUACUGUCGGGCUAGAGUUCGGAAGAGGCAAGUGGAAUUCCUGGUGUAGCGGUGGAAUGCGCAGAUAUCAGGAGGAACACCUGUAGCGAAGGCAGCUUGCUGGGACGAAACUGACGCUAAGGCGCGAAAGCGUGGGGAGCGAACAGG